This 45-nucleotide non-coding RNA is filed under the name Spodoptera frugiperda (fall armyworm). Lineage: Eukaryota; Metazoa; Arthropoda; Insecta; Lepidoptera; Noctuidae. The record is from RNAcentral.
AUCCUACCGACUGCGCCAAUUACGUAUGCUGUAGCCGGAGGAUGC